RNAcentral lists this ribosomal RNA (1150 nucleotides) under uncultured Ralstonia sp. Its description in RNAcentral is "bacterial SSU rRNA". It matches the Rfam family "Bacterial small subunit ribosomal RNA", at positions 69 to 1206 of the family's 1533-position model. Lineage: Bacteria; Pseudomonadati; Pseudomonadota; Betaproteobacteria; Burkholderiales; Burkholderiaceae. The record is from RNAcentral.
GCAUGAUCUAGCUUGCUAUAUUGAUGGCGAGUGGCGAACGGGUGACUAAUACAUCGGAACGUGCCCUGUAGUGAGGGAUAACAAGUCGAAAGAUUAGCUAAUACCGACAUACGACCUGAGGGUGAAAGUGGGGGACCGCAAGGCCUCAUGCUAUAAGACCGGCCGAUGUCUGAUUAGCUACUUGGUGGGGUAAAGGCCCAUCAACGCGACGAUCAGUAGCUGGUCUGACAGGACGAUCAGCCACACUGGAACUGACACACGGCCCAGACUCCUACGGGUAGCAACAGUGGGGAAUCUUGGACAAUGGGCGAAAGCCUGAUCCAGCAAUGCCGCGAUGUGUGAACAAGGCCUUCGGGUUGUAAAGCACUUUUGUCCGGAAAGACAUGGCUCUGGUUAAUACCUGCGGUCGAUGACGGUACCGGAAGAAUAAGGACCGGCUAACUAGCGUGCCAACAGCCGCGGUAGAUACGUAGGGUCCAAGCGUUUAUCGGAAUUACUGGGCGUAUAGCGUGCGCAGGCGGCUGUGCAACACCGAUGUGAUAUCCCCGAGCUUAACUUUGGAAUUGCAUUGGUGACUGCACGGCUAGAGUGUGUCAGAGGGGGAGUAGAAUUCCUCGUGUAGCAGUGAAAUGCGUAGAGAUGUGGAGGAAUACCGAUGGCGAAGGCAGCCCCCUGGGAUAACACUGACGCUCAUGCACGAAAGCGUGGGGAGCAAACAGGAUUAGAUACCCUGGUAGUCCACGCCCUAAACGAUGUCAACUAGUCUUGGGGAUUCAUUUCCUUAGUAACGUAGCUUACGCGUGAAGUUGACCGCCUGGGGAGUACGGUCGCAAGGUUAAAACUCAAAGGAAUUGACGGGGACCCGCACAAGCGGGUGGAUGAUGUGGAUUAAUUCGAUGCAACGCGAAAAACCUUACCUACCCUUGACAUGCCACUUAACGAAGCAGAGAUGCAUUAGGUGCUCGAAAGAGAAAGUGGACACAGGUGCUGCAUGGCUGUCGUCAGCUCGUGUCGUGAGAUGUUGGGUUAAGUCCCGCAACGAGCGCAACCCUUGUCUCUAGUUGCUACGAAAGGGCACUCUAGAGAUGACUGCCGGUGACUAACCGGAGGAAUGGUGGGGAUGAUCGUCAAUGUCCUCAUGGCCCUUAUG